Molecule: ribosomal RNA, 499 nt
Filed under: Bythinella molcsany
Lineage: Eukaryota; Metazoa; Mollusca; Gastropoda; Littorinimorpha; Amnicolidae
Description: partial 16S ribosomal RNA
Rfam family: Bacterial large subunit ribosomal RNA
Source: RNAcentral
CGCUCCAUGAAAAAUAUAUGGAGUCGAGCCUGCCCAGUGAUAAUAAUUUAACGGCCGCGGUACUCUGACCGUGCAAAGGUAGCAUAAUCAUUUGCCCUAUAAUUGAGGGCUAGCAUGAACGGUUUAACAAAAGUAUAACUGUCUCUUGAAAAAUAAAUAAAACUUGGUUUUUAGGUGAAGAAACCUAGAUAAAAUUGAAAGACAAGAAGACCCUAUCGAACUUAAAAGCAUUUUAAUGAACAACUAUUAAAAUUAAUAUCACUAAAAAAUUUUGGUUGGGGCGACCAAGGAACAAUAAAAGCUUCCUCUAAACAAUAAGUACCAAUAAGUAAUGAUCCAAAAACAACUGAUUAAAAAAAUUAGCUACCGUAGGGAUAACAGCAUAAUCUUUUUUGAGAGUUCUUAUCGAAAAAAAGGUUUGUGACCUCGAUGUUGGACUAGGAUAUCCUGAUAGAUGCAGAAGUCUUCAAAGGUUGGUCUGUUCGACCAAUAAAAUCCU